This 703-nucleotide ribosomal RNA is filed under the name Nalanthamala diospyri. RNAcentral's name for it is "LSU rRNA". It matches the Rfam family "Eukaryotic large subunit ribosomal RNA", at positions 78 to 812 of the family's 3401-position model. Lineage: Eukaryota; Fungi; Ascomycota; Sordariomycetes; Hypocreales; Nectriaceae. The record is from RNAcentral.
CCCUAGUAACGGCGAGUGAAGCGGCAACAGCUCAAAUUUGAAAUCUGGCCCUCGUGGUCCGAGUUGUAAUUUGUAGAGGAUGCUUUUGGUGCGGCGCCUUCCGAGUUCCCUGGAACGGGACGCCAUAGAGGGUGAGAGCCCCGUCUGGUCGGACGCCAAGCCUCUGUAAAGCUCCUUCGACGAGUCGAGUAGUUUGGGAAUGCUGCUCUAAAUGGGAGGUAUAUGUCUUCUAAAGCUAAAUACCGGCCAGAGACCGAUAGCGCACAAGUAGAGUGAUCGAAAGAUGAAAAGCACUUUGAAAAGAGGGUUAAACAGUACGUGAAAUUGUUGAAAGGGAAGCGCUUGUGACCAGACUUGGGCUUGGUUAAUCAUCCAGCGUUCUCGCUGGUGCACUUGGCCGGCCCAGGCCAGCAUCAGUUCGGCGCGGGGGAUAAAGGCGUCGGGAAUGUGGCUCCCCCGGGAGUGUUAUAGCCCUUCGUGCAAUACCCUGCGCCGGACUGAGGUUCGCGCAUCUGCAAGGAUGCUGGCGUAAUGGUCAUCAGCGACCCGUCUUGAAACACGGACCAAGGAGUCGUCUUCGUAUGCGAGUGUUCGGGUGUCAAACCCCUACGCGUAAUGAAAGUGAACGCAGGUGAGAGCUUCGGCGCAUCAUCGACCGAUCCUGAUGUUCUCGGAUGGAUUUGAGUAAGAGCAUACGGGGCCG